Molecule: long non-coding RNA, 1489 nt
Organism: Pogonomyrmex barbatus (red harvester ant)
Lineage: Eukaryota; Metazoa; Arthropoda; Insecta; Hymenoptera; Formicidae
Source: RefSeq, a predicted model, not a curated record
UAAUAUUUUGAUGUUCAAACUGUAAUUAAGCUAUUAUAAUUUAACACUAUCUCAGAGUCAAAGAUUACGUGGAGGUUGAGACGUUAUCUGUCCAACAGCAACGUCAGUUGCAAUGCAUGAAGUGCACGUGUUACAAGGAAAACCGCUGCGAAAUUACCGUGAGAUUCCAAUCUGAAGCUCUGAUAGAUUUUGGAAACGAGUUCCUUACGCCUCGUUGAACAUUUCGAGUAAACCUACGGCUGUAGGUCUUUCUUCUCGACUGUUCGCGGAACACUUGCUCGGAGCUACGUCCGCCUGCGGGAAACCGCAGUGCGAUAAUCAAUUCACUCAAAGACGGAAAGUGAAAUCUAUUCUACUUGGAAAGUCCCCGAGCCUUCUCGAGUUCUCGAAGAAUAAUAUGCAAUCAUAACAUCGAGAAAAAGAUCUAUAUGUUCGGUAGCUCCAGUUUGGAAAAACAAUAGUUCUACGGAAUCAGCAAUUUGCCGUGAAAGGAAAGAAAACACUGAUUGCGUGGAGGAUCUCGCAGAAGAGUUUAAUAAAGUUUCUUGAAUCGCGUUUUACUCUGAUUUCGUCGUAUAGAAUACAGACGUAAUGCAGAAAAGUUACAUCUGAAGAGCAGUAGGGAAAUUAAAUACAUUAAAGACGAGAGAAAACGAAGAGAGAGAGAGAGAGAGAGAGAGAGAGACAUAUACGCGACAAAAUAUAGAAUAUUUGCAACUUGAGAAGCCGUGCAACUUGAGAUAAUAUUCAACAUUGGAAGAAAGACAACUGUACGCAUUGUACGCAUUGCAAUAGAUUCGCAAUAAUACAAUCGUGACGUUAAAGUAUAGCUUCCCUUUAUUUUCGUUAUUUCGAAACUUAUUUUGCGAGAAAACUGCAAUACCGUUUGUACCGAGUGUCUAAAAGAACUGGAAGAUACCACCUCGCGCAUUUUGGAGAUAAAACGAGAUACUAAACGACUCGCACAUUUUGCGUACGGUAACGAUUGCCUGAAAGUCGACAAAAAUCUGUUUCCGAUAUUCACGUCGGAAGCUCUAAAUUGACAAUCGAAGCUGAAAAUCGUUUCGCACAGCCCGGUGCGCAAUGUAAAGAGAGAGUAGAGCUCUCGGACCUGUGGCUCGGCCGCGUAAAAGUCCGCCGGCUCGCAAAGUAUUCUUGACCGAUUCCCCGCGUUGCUUAUCCAGGCUCGUACGAGCAAUGAAUUUUUACGGAAACACCGAUAAGACCACGCGCGUUCGCGCAACCGGAGAGGAGAGCGACCGGAAAAAGCCCGAUAGGAAACGUGCAACCGGUGGGUGGGGAACGAAAAAAAAAAAAAAAGAAAGAGAGAAAGAAGGAAAAAAACACGAGGCGCGGAGAUUUAUGCCGCGCGUAUCCGCAUAGCCGAUACCGGCCAUCGAUUUUCCGGCCGCGCGCGCCUAUCGCGCACUGAUUUCGACCUACCGCAAGAACGAGACGAUACAUCUCGCUCUUUUUUCCUUUAUUACGG